Molecule: ribosomal RNA, 1333 nt
Filed under: uncultured bacterium
Lineage: Bacteria
Description: bacterial SSU rRNA
Rfam family: Bacterial small subunit ribosomal RNA
Source: RNAcentral
UGGCGGCGUGCCUAACACAUGCAAGUCGAACGACUACUUGGAAGUUUUCGGACGGAGAAGUGACUGAGUGGCGGACGGGUGAGUAACGCGUGGGUAACCUGCCUCUUACAGGGGGAUAACAGUUAGAAAUGACUGCUAAUACCGCAUAAGCGCACGGAAUCGCAUGAUUUAGUGUGAAAAGCCGAGACGGUAUGAGAUGGACCCGCGUCUGAUUAGGUAGUUGGCGGGGUAACGGCCCACCAAGCCGACGAUCAGUAGCCGACCUGAGAGGGUGACCGGCCACAUUGGGACUGAGACACGGCCCAAACUCCUACGGGAGGCAGCAGUGGGGAAUAUUGCACAAUGGGGGAAACCCUGAUGCAGCGACGCCGCGUGAGCGAAGAAGUAUUUCGGUAUGUAAAGCUCUAUCAGCAGGGAAGAAAAUGACGGUACCUGCAUAAGAAGCCCCGGCUAACUACGUGCCAGCAGCCGCGGUAAUACGUAGGGGGCAAGCGUUAUCCGGAUUUACUGGGUGUAAAGGGAGCGUAGGCGGCGAUGCAAGUCAGAGGUGAAAGCCCGGGGCUCAACUCCGGGACUGCCUUUGAAACUGUGUUGCUAGAUUGCAGGAGAGGUAAGUGGAAUUCCUAGUGUAGCGGUGAAAUGCGUAGAUAUUAGGAGGAACACCAGUGGCGAAGGCGGCUUGCUGGACGACAACUGACGCUGAGGCGCGAAAGCGUGGGGAGCAAACAGGAUUAGAUACCCUGGUAGUCCACGCUGUAAACGAUGAAUACUAGGUGUGGGAGGACUGACCCCUUCCGUGCCGCAGUUAACACAAUAAGUAUUCCACCUGGGGAGUACGGCCGCAAGGCUGAAACUCAAAGGAAUUGACGGGGGCCCGCACAAGCAGUGGAUUAUGUGGUUUAAUUCGACGCAACGCGAAGAACCUUACCAGGACUUGACAUCCAACUAACGAAGUAGAGAUACAUUAGGUGCCCUUCGGGGAAAGUUGAGACAGGUGGUGCAUGGUUGUCGUCAGCUCGUGUCGUGAGAUGUUGGGUUAAGUCCCGCAACGAGCGCAACCCCUAUUGUUAGUUGCUACGCAAGAGCACUCUAGCGAGACUGCCGUUGACAAAACGGAGGAAGGCGGGGACGACGUCAAAUCAUCAUGCCCCUUAUGUCCUGGGCUACACACGUAAUACAAUGGCCGUCAACAAAGGGAAGCAAAACCGCGAGGUGGAGCAAAUCCCCAAAAACGGUCUCAGUUCGGAUUGCAGGCUGCAACUCGCCUGCAUGAAGCUGGAAUUGCUAGUAAUCGUGGAUCAGCAUGCCACGGUGAAUACGUUCCCGGGCCUUG